AUCCUUUUCUAGUUCAUAAGCAUGAUGACUGAGUGUUCACACUCAUGUGUGAGAUCUGCUACCCUCAAACCUUGAAAUCUUCAGUCACUUUUGUUAAGUGAAU
Molecule: small nucleolar RNA, 103 nt
Organism: Callithrix jacchus (white-tufted-ear marmoset)
Lineage: Eukaryota; Metazoa; Chordata; Mammalia; Primates; Cebidae
Source: Ensembl